AAAAGUCAAAAAUAUCAAGUCAUGGAUGGUAACUAUAAUUAACAAAAAAAAGGUAUUUAUUUAGUAGAAAAAUAUAUCGAUGUCGUAAUACGUGAAGUCUUGCUUGAGAAUGCUCCGAGCACUUGGCUGUGGUAGGUAGAAUGGAAAUUGCAACAAAAAAAUUCUAACUAUAAUAGAAUACUAACUAAACUCUAAUUAGACCAUAAUAAUACUAAACAAGCUUUAAUCAAAUUCAAAGAAACCUCAAAGAAAUUUCAAAGAAUCAAUAAAAAAUCUUAAAAAAAUAUUAGAUUGAUCAUAAAUAUAUUUAAAAUAAAUCUCAAUUCAAUCUUAAUUUAAUCCUAGUUAAAAUCCUAUUGGACUUCAUUCAAACUUUAGGCCAAAACUAAUUAAAUCUUAAAUCCUAAAUAAACCCUAAUAAAAUCUUAAAUCCUAAAUCAAACCCAAAAUCACAAAACAAAUCCUAAAUCCUAAACCAAAUUCUAACCAAAUUCUAAACCAACUCCUAAAUACUAUACCAAACCUUGAUCAAAUCCUAAACCAAAAUCUAAUCAAAUCCUAAACAAAUCCUAAACCAAAUCCUAAACCAACGCCUAAAUCCUAAACCAAACCUUGAUCAAAUCCUAAACCAAACUCUAACCAAAUCCUAAAAAAAUCCUAAACCAAAUCCUAAAUCUUAAAUCAAAUCCUAACUAAAUCUUAAAUCCUAAAUCAAAUCCUAAACCUUAAAACAAAUCCUAAUCCUAAAUCAAAUCAUAACCAAAUCCUAAUCGUAGUCUUAAAUCCUAAACCAAAUCCUAACCAAACCUUAACCAAAUCCUAAACCAAACUCUAAAUCCUAAACCAAAUCCUAACCAAAUCCUAACCAAAUCCUAAAUAAAACCC
Molecule: long non-coding RNA, 885 nt
Filed under: Physcomitrium patens
Lineage: Eukaryota; Viridiplantae; Streptophyta; Bryopsida; Funariales; Funariaceae
Description: long non-coding RNA (PPAT_LNC000958)
Source: RNAcentral